RNAcentral lists this ribosomal RNA (256 nucleotides) under Pycnococcus provasolii. RNAcentral's name for it is "partial Bacterial large subunit ribosomal RNA". It matches the Rfam family "Bacterial large subunit ribosomal RNA", at positions 778 to 1030 of the family's 2925-position model. The record is from RNAcentral. Lineage: Eukaryota; Viridiplantae; Chlorophyta; Pseudoscourfieldiophyceae; Pseudoscourfieldiales; Pycnococcaceae.
ACCCACGAGUGUUGAAAAACUCGGGGAUGAGCCGGGCGGGGGAGUGAAAGUCUAAUCAAACGUGGAGAUAGCUCGUUCUCUCCGAAAUAACUUUAGGGUUAGCGUUGGAAUAGUUGGCGACGGGGGUAGAGCGACUGAAAUCGAACGGAGGGCUACCCGCCUAUCCGUCGAUACCAAACUCCGAAUACCGUCGUACCAAGUUCCUGCAGCUAGACUGCGAGGGAUAAGCUUCGUAGUCGAGAGGGAAACAGCCCAG